UAAAAAAAAAAGUACAAAUCUAAAUACAAUUGGAUUAGAUUCGCUUAACCUUAGGGGAAACCUAUUUAAUCUCGUCCAGCUCUGGACCACAUCAACAUUCGUAAUCAUGAGGUUGAUGUGCUUGGUUGUUAUGACUAUUCUGGCUAUGGUUAACUUAGGAGACGCACUGGAGUUACGACCCAGAGGAAAAGCGCCCGGCGGAUGUCGUGGGGUCUGUGGUGGGUAAUUUACCCAGCUGAAAAACAGAGAUGAGAACAAUAUGUUAAAUUUUAUUCAAAAUUUCUGAGACGACAACCAUCCCUGGAAUUAAAACGUUUCGCCGGCGCUGUUUGCCUGUAAAAGUAGUAAAAUCACGAUUUUGCAGAAACCAAAUUGCUGACGAGUUUUGAAGAAAAAAAAUAUACAAGUAAAACAAAAUUAAUAAAAUGUAAUUAAACAAAAUAAACAAAAGCAAAGGACAUAUAUUAAA
Molecule: long non-coding RNA, 469 nt
Organism: Drosophila ficusphila
Lineage: Eukaryota; Metazoa; Arthropoda; Insecta; Diptera; Drosophilidae
Exons: 2
Source: RefSeq, a predicted model, not a curated record